Molecule: ribosomal RNA, 481 nt
Filed under: uncultured bacterium
Lineage: Bacteria
Description: bacterial SSU rRNA
Rfam family: Bacterial small subunit ribosomal RNA
Source: RNAcentral
GACGAACGCUGGCGGCGUGCUUAAUACAUGCAAGUCAACGACUUUUAGAGUAGCAAUAUUUUAAAAGGAGUGGCGCACGGGUGAGUAACACGUAGGUAAUCUGCCUUCAGGACUGACACAACUCGUCGAAAGACGGGCUAAUAUCAGAUAAUGCAGCGGCUCCGCAUGGAGACAGUUGUUAAAGUACAAGCGCCUGAAGAUGAGCCUGCGGUCCAUUAGCUAGUUGGUAGAGUAACAGCCUACCAAGGCAACGAUGGAUAGCUGGUCUGAGAGGAUGAUCAGCCACACUGGAACUGAGACACGGUCCAGACUCCUACGGGAGGCAGCAGUAAGGAAUAUUGCUCAAUGGCCGAAAGGCUGAAGCAGCAACGCCGCGUGAAGGAUGAAUGGCCUUUGGCCUGUAAACUUCUGUAAAAAGGGAAAACAAUCAGGCAUGUCCUGAUUUGAUUGUACCUUUGAAGUAAGCCCCGGCUAACUACGU